AGUCGAGGGGCAUCGGGGAGCGAAGCUUGCUUUGCUCCGCCGGCGACCGGCGCACGGGUGAGUAACGCGUAUGCAACCUGCCCGUUUCAGCGGGAUAACCCGGAGAAAUCCGGCCUAAUACCGCAUGUGGCCGAGGGAAGGCAUCUUCUUUCGGCCAAAGGAGGCGACUCCGGAGACGGAUGGGCAUGCGUGACAUUAGCUUGUUGGCGGGGUAACGGCCCACCAAGGCGACGAUGUCUAGGGGUUCUGAGAGGAAGGUCCCCCACACUGGUACUGAGACACGGACCAGACUCCUACGGGAGGCAGCAGUGAGGAAUAUUGGUCAAUGGGCGAGAGCCUGAACCAGCCAAGUCGCGUGAAGGAUGACGGCCCUACGGGUUGUAAACUUCUUUUGUCAGGGAGCAAUUGGGUCCACGCGUGGGCUUAGCGAGAGUACCUGAAGAAAAAGCAUCGGCUAACUCCGUGCCAGCAGCCGCGGUAAUACGGAGGAUGCGAGCGUUAUCCGGAUUUAUUGGGUUUAAAGGGUGCGUAGGCGGAAUAUCAAGUCAGCGGUAAAAAUUCGGGGCUCAACCCCGUCGUGCCGUUGAAACUGAUGUUCUUGAGUGGGCGAGAAGUAUGCGGAAUGCGUGGUGUAGCGGUGAAAUGCAUAGAUAUCACGCAGAACUCCGAUUGCGAAGGCAGCAUACCGGCGCCCAACUGACGCUGAAGCACGAAAGCGUGGGUAUCGAACAGGAUUAGAUACCCUGGUAGUCCACGCAGUAAACGAUGAAUGCUAAUUGUCCGGAGGGAUUGACCUCUGGGUGAUACAGCGAAAGCGUUAAGCAUUCCACCUGGGGAGUACGCCGGCAACGGUGAAACUCAAAGGAAUUGACGGGG
Molecule: ribosomal RNA, 876 nt
Filed under: uncultured bacterium
Lineage: Bacteria
Description: bacterial SSU rRNA
Rfam family: Bacterial small subunit ribosomal RNA
Source: RNAcentral